CGGGCGGCCGUGACCCUGCUGGAGUCCGGGGGGGACCUCCAGCCCCCCGGGGGGUCCCUGCGCCUCCUCUGCCGAGGACAAGGAUUCGAGUUUGGGAAAUUUGAGAUGUUCUGGGUGCGCCAGAGACCCGAGAAAGCGCUGGAAUUCAUCGCAAGCAUCACCAGCGGUGGCAGCACGUACUACGCGCCAUCCGUGCGUGGCCGGUUCACCAUCAGCAGGGACAACGGGCAGAGCUCGGUGACGCUGAGCAUGAACAACCUCCAGGACGAGGAUUCCGGGGUUUAUUUCUGUGGCAAAACUUCUGGCAAUGAUUAUGGUUUUCCUGCUUAUGCAAUGGGGAAUGUGGCCAUCACCGGCAUCGUCACCAUAACCAACAGCAGCAGCAGCAGCACCAUAACUGCUGUAACAACCACUGGUGUAACAUUUGGCGCAGAAAUAAACCCGGAAUCCUCGUCCUGGAGGUUGUUCAUGCUCAGCGUCACCGAGCUCUGCCCGUUGUCCCUGCUGAUGGUGAACCGGCCCUUCACGGACGAUGCGUAG
Poecile atricapillus (Black-capped chickadee) is the source of this 540-nucleotide non-coding RNA. The record is from the annotation of a RefSeq genome assembly. Lineage: Eukaryota; Metazoa; Chordata; Aves; Passeriformes; Paridae.